CCCUUAGAUGUUCUGGGCAGCACGCGCGCUACAAUGGUCUUCGCAAACGGAUGCAUUCUCGAAGGAGAAUGCCAAUCUUGGAAUCUAUGCCUUGGUCGGGACAGUUGCUUGCAAUUUUUCGACUCGAUCCAGGAAUUCCUUGUAAUCGUGAUUCAUCACAUCACGAUGAAUACGUCCCUGCCCUUUGUACACACCGCCCGUCGCUCCUACCGAUCGAAGAGUUAGGUGAAUUGUUUUGAUCGAUAAGAUUUGACUAUGGUCAACUCUCGUUGUGAAAUUCUGUGAAUCUGACUGUUUAGAGGAAGGAAAAGUCGUAACA
RNAcentral lists this ribosomal RNA (319 nucleotides) under uncultured eukaryote. RNAcentral's name for it is "partial 18S ribosomal RNA". It matches the Rfam family "Eukaryotic small subunit ribosomal RNA", at positions 1470 to 1796 of the family's 1831-position model. The record is from RNAcentral.